This is a small nuclear RNA of Hyaena hyaena (striped hyena), 103 nucleotides long. The record is from RefSeq and is a predicted model, not a curated record. Lineage: Eukaryota; Metazoa; Chordata; Mammalia; Carnivora; Hyaenidae.
UUGCUUCGGCUGCACAUACACUAAAAUUGGAACGAUAUGGUGAAGACUGGCAUGACCCCUGUGCAAGGAUGACACACAUAUUGGUGAAGUGUUCCAGAUUUUA